AACGAACGCUGGCGGCAUGCCUAACACAUGCAAGUCGAACGGAACCUUCGUGCUUAUUUGCGCACGGGGGGGUGACCCGUGGGAACCUGCCCUUAGGUUCGCAAUAACUCCCCGAAAGGGGUCCUAAGACCGGAGAAUGUAUUCCGACCAAAGAGUUAUCGCCUUUGGGUGGGCCCUCGAUGGAUUAGAUGGUUGGUAGGGUAAAAGCAUACCAAGGGGUCGUUGCAUAGCUGGUAUGAGAGGAGGAUCAACCACACUGGGACUGAGACACGGACCAGAAUCCUACGGGAGGGAGGAGUGGGGAAUACUGGACACUGGGGGAAAGCCUGAUCCAGCAAUGCCGGGUAAGUGAUGAAGGCCGUAGGGUUGUAAAGCUCUUUUAUACGGGAUGAUAAUGACGGUACCGGGAGAAUAAGCACCGGCUAACUACGUG
This 433-nucleotide ribosomal RNA is filed under the name uncultured bacterium. Its description in RNAcentral is "partial 16S ribosomal RNA". It matches the Rfam family "Bacterial small subunit ribosomal RNA", at positions 29 to 507 of the family's 1533-position model. The record is from RNAcentral.